RNAcentral lists this long non-coding RNA (2226 nucleotides) under Aquilegia coerulea. Its description in RNAcentral is "long non-coding RNA (ACOE_LNC001953)". Lineage: Eukaryota; Viridiplantae; Streptophyta; Magnoliopsida; Ranunculales; Ranunculaceae. The record is from RNAcentral.
UUUUUUUUUUUUGAUAGAAUCUUGAAGUGGUUCAUCUCUAGUUUUUGGAUUUUUUCCAUCUGGGUUUUAGACAUGAAAUUAGUGCUUAAAAAUGUUGAUUAUGUUUUCCAUAGGAAGGUUAUUAAGGUUGCACUGCAUCUUUGCAAUCCAGCUUCUGAUUCUCUCUCAUAGUAUCUCUGCUGGUGUUGGGUGGUUUUAUACAAUUUAGUUCCUAUAGAGCAUUCUCUUCUGGGUGGUAUGCAACGUGUUGACCAUCUAAGCUAUUGAUGAUCUCCAAAUAAUAGUAUUUAUAUCUUGAGAUACGUAACCAACGAAAGAAGACACAAACCUCUCUUUCAAACUCUCUCUCUCUCUCUCUCUCUGUGUUCAACGAUUGAGCUCUCUAAUCUCCAUAUUUCAAUUGCAGGUUUUUCUUCUUUUAUCUUUAAAACCAAUUUAUGCCUUUCGAUUUCAUUUUCUUUUGCAUCUACACUUAAUUAAUUAAUCAAAACAUUGAUGCUCGGCAAAAAACACUAUCAACUCACAUUUCUAUUGAAAUUUAGGUAGGUUAGAUGCGACAUUAUCUUGUUCUUUUGUUCAGUUAUAACUGUAAACUUGUUUUUAGUUCUACUUUGGCAUAGAAUUCGACAUGGAACCAUUAAAAAUGCCAUUUCCCACAUUCAAUUAAAACCAAGGGUUUGUGAAAUAUUUGAUUUCAUUUUAUGUAACUUAACCAUGAGCUCUCCCCUUCGUUUGUAGUAAGAAAUAGGGUGUGAUGUGAUCACCCCUUUUAUCACCUAGCUACUAAGCAUAGUGGCCCUAUGAGUUUUAGUUCCAAUAUCUCUGCCUCGUUGAAAUUGAUAAAUUCCGUACCCUCUAAUCUUGAAUAGCUGUCAUUGAAGUCAGAUUGACAACCGGUCUCAAUUAUGACUGCAGAUUGACAACCGGUGUCUCAACUAUGAAAUUGAGCAUAGAUAUCAGAAGUACCAACUAGCUACAUUGUCUUUGACAGAAUCUGUGAGUGCCUGAGUGGGAGUACCGGUUGUGAUACUUUUUAUCGCUUAAUUUAUUACUCAGUUUGGACAUUGAAUAGCAAUUGUAAUGUUUCUCACUCUGUCAAAGUUUGAAUUUCUGCACAUAGUUGUCAUUUUCUGUUGAAAGGACUCCUAUCAUCAUUCGAUAUAAUAUAUUGUUAUAGUUGUCCACUGGUUUGAGACCUUAAAUGCUUGGAAAUGCCGAACCUAUAUGAACUCUAUUUUGUUAUAUUCUCAACUCAUUCAAAUUGGAAUAGACUCUGACAGAGUCUUUUCGGCAAUAUGAUAUCUGUUUUAUCCAUUAUCGUCUGAAAAAUCUAUUUGACCCUGGCAUGAAUCAGAGAACGUGCAUACAUACAUAUAUAUAUAUAUAUAUUUAUCUGGGGAUGAAAUUGAUUGCACACCAUGUGGGUAGAGGAAAACAUUAGCUGGCUCAUUCAAAUAUUAGAAGUCAUAUGUACGGUGGACAACCUAGUUCGAAAAUAUUUUGUGGGUUUGAUUGUAGGUGGACUGCCUAUUUAGUCUAUGUGAAUUGAGUGGGCAAGUUGCUUUUAUUUGGCUCAUCCACCUUAUCAUUUGACAAGUAUCUUGUUCAAGCCAAGGCAGAUUACGAUUCUUGCUUUAAAUUUCUUUUUUGUAGGUGCAUAUAACACAUUAAGUCUUGUAUGAUGUAGAGUAGGAAGAUGAUUUAUAAAUUCAAGACCAGCCCUGAUUUGCUGAUUCAUGUUACAAAAGUCCAGCUUAUGUUCUCAGCGAAUUGGGUUAAACUCAUAGGCUUGCUGACUACUUUCGAAAAUUUAUGGUUGCAGAUAAUCAGAUACCAGAAGAAAUGGAUGUAAAACCUACAGUCGCUCUGAGAGCUUUAUUUGUAGGUGGACUAGCAGCAUUUGCCAAAGUGGCGGGUGCGUUGAAAGCUGCUGGCGGGGUAAAGGUGGGGGCAGCAGCGGCUGCCAUGACUGCUGCAGCAACUGCUGCAGUUUCUGGAUCUAAACAAAAUGAGCCUCCUAAAAAGCCUUCCCAAUAAGUUAUAAGACAAGCACGUCUUGUUGUUGGACAACAAAACAUGUAGUAUAUUGGUGUUUCUCACCAAACUGACUGCAAAUGAUAUGUUUUUGUUUGAACUGUAAUUUUUGCUGUAACAGGGAAAAUAAGCAAAUUCGAAAUAAAGGAUGGUUUUGUUUGGUCGAUUCUAGACGGUAGCUUUACAAUAACA